UCUGCUUGUCCCCAGCACACGGGGGGGGGGGGGGGGGGGCACACACAGCCUGGAGUGUGAGAUGGGGCCACAUCCGGCUUGGCUCCCGGGGGCAUCGGCACUUUGGACCCUUCCCUCCUGCAGCUCCGAUCGCCACCUGACAUCAACGUCACCCUUCGGAAACAAAUGCUGCCUGUCGGGUCAGGCCAAAUGCCAAAACGCGCAACGUUCACGGUUUAGAAAGUCUAAUAAGACCCCAGCUCUCGGCUCCUCCCAGAUCUUCACUUAAUUUGCUUAUCUUGAUCUCCGAGGAUGUGGUGAAAUUUGCUCCUCUGUAAGUUCACACCUGUCAGGCCUCAACACUCAGCAGGUGCAGACUUAGCAGGUGGCCCUGGGACUACGGGGACACCCACCCUACAGCCCGCCCGCUGCUGUCUCCGAGAAAACACUUUGAAGAGAUUCUAAAAACAGUGUGUCUACCUCGAUUAUACAUCAAAUCCUAGUUAGUGGUCCACUUCCAGCUUUGUAGACAAAUAGCUAUUUCAAUCUCUCCGUCCCCGUGCAGUGAUCACAGGUGAAUAAGGAUGUUCCAGUCCUCCUCGUCUGUGGGAACGUAAGUCGCCACCUUCAAAUACACUAUUACUUUCCAAGUUACCCUGUUGGAGUGCGGGGCCUGCAGGGAGGCAGGAGGCACUGAGUGUGUGCUCGCUGGUCAGCAGGGGCUGGUGGGGGCGGGGGCCUCCUCGGAUCCCUCAGGGCGCGGUGAGGGACAUCCGGGGACUGUGGGGGGCGGUGCCCUCCAAAACGGAGAGGAGCCUCUGGCUCUCCGGGAAGUUUGCAGCCAGCUGGGGAGCAUCAGGGGCUCCCUCCCUCGGGGACAACGGGAUCCUGCUCUGUGUGUGGUCUUUGUGGCCUUCAGAAGCCACCACCCCGAGACAACUGUCCACUCCCAGAUGUCCUCCCCCAGGCAGGCCCUGUGGCCCCAGCUGCAGCCAGGGCGCCAGGGCAGCCCCGGACUCCGCGGGGACAGGCUCUCCAAGGUCACUGGUGUUGUGUUGCUUUCUGCACCUGCGGACGUCUUAUGUGCCCACUGGGUGCUGUGUGGACAGGACAGGGCCUCCCUGCGCGGGCCUCCCUGAGCCCUGAAAAUGUCACCGUCACAAACGCGGUUGGGCUGCUUAUCGUCCGAUGUGUGCUUUGUGGGAAAAGUUGCGAAGUUGCUCAGUACGAAAAUAUAUCGAAGAUGUUCAGAAUCUUGAAUUUAUGUGAAGCAGCUGAUCUAAACACGAACCAGAGAAGAGAAGAGAGUCAGGACUGCGGCCUCGGGCGAGGCUGCGCGGUGAAGCCCCCUCUGGACCCCCGGCACAAGGCCUGGGACACAGAAUGUGUGCAGUGAACACAGCUACGAGCAUGGGGGGUCCCCGUGCCUCCCAGGUGCUGUGGACACGCCCACACGGUGGCCCCCCGAGAAGCUCUGUCCGGGGACCGUGGCUGAGGAGCGAGCCCGGGAGUCAGGAGCGAUCCAGGAAUUCCUGGUGGGGUCACGGGGACCCCGGAGGCUGCAAUCCCCCCACCACCCCAGCCCGGGUUCCCCUCUCCACCCCUUCUGGUCCCCCCUCCACCUCUC
Felis catus (domestic cat) is the source of this 1606-nucleotide long non-coding RNA. RefSeq lists it as uncharacterized. NCBI's taxonomy places the organism in Eukaryota, Metazoa, Chordata, Mammalia, Carnivora, Felidae. The transcript is spliced from 3 exons. The record is from RefSeq and is a predicted model, not a curated record.